AGUAACGCGUGGAUAACCUGCCUCACACUGGGGGAUAACAGUUAGAAAUGACUGCUAAUACCGCAUAAGCGCACAGUACCGCAUGGUACAGUGUGAAAAACUCCGGUGGUGUGAGAUGGAUCCGCGUCUGAUUAGCCAGUUGGCGGGGUAACGGCCCACCAAGCCGACGAUCAGUAGCCGACCUGAGAGGGUGACCGGCCACAUUGGGACUGAGACACGGCCCAA
RNAcentral lists this ribosomal RNA (225 nucleotides) under uncultured bacterium. RNAcentral describes it as "partial 16S ribosomal RNA". It matches the Rfam family "Bacterial small subunit ribosomal RNA", at positions 109 to 334 of the family's 1533-position model. The record is from RNAcentral.